Molecule: RNase P RNA, 342 nt
Filed under: bovine gut metagenome
Description: Bacterial RNase P class A
Rfam family: Bacterial RNase P class A
About the family: Ribonuclease P (RNase P) is a ubiquitous endoribonuclease, found in archaea, bacteria and eukarya as well as chloroplasts and mitochondria. Its best characterised activity is the generation of mature 5'-ends of tRNAs by cleaving the 5'-leader elements of precursor-tRNAs. Cellular RNase Ps are ribonucleoproteins.
Source: RNAcentral
GUUGGACGGUCUGUCGCUUGCCUUCAGGGCAAGAGGAAAGUCCGGGCAACACAGAGCAAUCCCACUUCCUAACAGAAAGCUGCUGGCGACGGUGGAGUAACGCAGAAGAAAACAACCGCUCCUCUCGGGGAGUAAGGGUGAGAAGGUGAGGUAAGAGCUCACCAGGUGCCGGGCGAUCGGCAUGCUGUGCGUCUUGGGAGUUGCAAGUUCAUGUAUACCGGCGCUUGAGGACUGCUCGUCCGAGCCGGAGGGUAGAACGCUGGAGUCCGUUGGCAACAGCGGAUGUAGAUAGAUGACAGACGCCCCUCAGGGGUACAGAACCCGGCUUACAGGCCAACUGUU